UACUCCUUUUGCAUUGUGGGUAAUUGGGGUGUGUGGAAACAUGAGCGCUUUCUGGAUGCCAUCUUUACUAUUGGCAGAAAGGCCCGUUGCCGGGGUUACCCGAGACCUUAAUUGUGAGACAGAAGGCUUGGUAAACCCUCUCGGAUAGUAGCUGGAUUCCAAGUGUCCACUCAGGUCUCACAGCCCUUGCAGGGGGCAGCGUUCCCUACCUUCGCGAGCUGUGUACUCAUUGUCCUCAAUGAUCCGUGCCAGGCCGAAGUCAGCAAUCUUACACACCAGGGAUGCAGAGACCAAGAUGUUGGCAGCCCGGAGGUCUCGGUGGAUGUAGUUCCUCUGCUCGAUGAAGGCCAUACCCUCUGAAAUCUGCACCCAAAAGAGACAGUGUCAUCAUACUAAAUUCUAAUAAAGAAUUCAAAAUGA
Mesocricetus auratus (golden hamster) is the source of this 420-nucleotide long non-coding RNA. RefSeq lists it as uncharacterized. The record is from RefSeq and is a predicted model, not a curated record. The transcript has 2 exons. NCBI's taxonomy places the organism in Eukaryota, Metazoa, Chordata, Mammalia, Rodentia, Cricetidae.